GUCGCCGCCGCCGCCGCCGGGUCCCGAAGCGCAGCCCCGGCUGAAGAGCGCGUCGGCCGGCUGCCCAGGAGCGCCGCGCAGGGAAGAGCGGAGCCGCGGAGUCGGCAGGCGGGCGGGCGCGCGGACAGACUAGCGUGCCAUGGCAGACCAGAGACAGCGUUCACUCUCUACCUCUGGGGAGUCCCUGUACCAUGUACUGGGGCUGGACAAGAACGCAACCUCAGAUGACAUUAAGAAGUCCUACCGGAAGCUGGCCUUGAAAUACCACCCUGACAAGAACCCUGAUAACCCGGAGGCUGCGGACAAGUUUAAGGAGAUCAACAACGCCCACGCCAUCUUGACGGACGCCACGAAAAGAAACAUCUACGACAAGUACGGCUCACUGGGGCUCUACGUGGCCGAGCAGUUCGGGGAGGAGAACGUGAACACCUACUUUGUGCUCUCCAGCUGGUGGGCCAAGGCCCUGUUCAUCUUCUGCGGGCUCCUCACCUGCUGCUACUGCUGCUGCUGCCUCUGCUGCUGCUUCAACUGCUGCUGUGGCAAGUGCAAGCCCAAGGCGCCAGAGGGGGAAGAGACCGAGUUCUAUGUGUCCCCCGAGGACCUGGAGGCGCAGCUGCAGUCCGACGAGAGGGGAGGGCACUGACACUGUGCGGGAGUGUUUGUGGUGGCAGCGGGACGGUUGAGGUGUGAACGUGGACGCUGGAGAGGCCGCAGACACGCCAAUCGUCAUCCAGCCGGCGUCUGCCACGGAGACCACCCAGCUCACGGCUGACUCCCACCCCAGCUACCACACCGACGGGUUCAACUAAGUCCAGGAUCGGUCAGCACCCAGCCACUCAACCUUAGAAUCAUGAACUGUAGUCACAGAGAUGGCGUGGGAGCCGCCCUGGCCCCAGGAGGGCCCCGCCGACCCGCCUCUGUGCCCGCCCAUCCACCCCCGACACAUGAAGUGCGUAGCAUGCAGUAUUUAAAGCAGUUUAGCUACGGUCUUCUUCAUCUUCUGUUGUUUCCUUUUUUAAUAGCAUGUAUGGGUUAUGUCCAUGUCUGUCUGUGUUGUGGGCGUGUUGCAGCCAGACUGUAUUCACCGGACUUGGGGCUGCUUCAGGACUCUCAGGCAGGUUGGCGUGGCGGGUGGGUGGCCCUUACGGUCCCUCACCGCCAGGUGGGCUCAGGCGGGAUGGGCACUCUGUUUCCUGUUUCAUGGGGGCCUGAGGCAGUUGCUGCCUGAUGGAAGCUGUGGGGUCUGCUCCCUGCCCUGUCUGCCUAUCUUGCGGCCACAGGCAGGGCCUCUGGACUCACUUGACAGGAAGGAGCUGGGCCUGGCUCCCGGUCCCAGGGUGUUGCCCUGGGGUACUCAUGCUCACCUCAUCUGCUUCGCCUCAUGGCAGGUAUUCCCGUAUCUGACCUGAGGCCCCUGUGCUCGAGUGUGCUCCCUCCCCGGCUGGGUCGUCCCUGCAGCCUCCAUGCUCCCCUUCCCUGCACUGCCCUCCACAUUCCUUCAGGCCCACCUGGCCUCUUUGUAAUCCUUUCUUGGACCUCCAAGAACCACAGAUGGUAUCAGCGGCCCAAUUAGUGGUGGUCAGAGGGGCUGAAUCCAGGCUGCCGGUGGCAAGUGGGCUGCAUACCCCUCCUGCUUCCCACCUCCAACCCACUUUCCUCCACCUGCUCCCUUUGGCCAUUGUGAAUGGUUUGGGCAGUUAGAGACGUCGAGCUCAUGGAGGAAGGACCAGCUGGACCAAAGGCACACUCCGGGCAGAGGGUCAGUCCCCAGGAGACCUUGGUGCCCUUGGCUCAUUCACCUGCAGCCAGACCACAGAAGCUCUCUCACCUCUGUCUCAGUACCACCACCUGUGGACUGUCGGAAGCCAGUCUGUCUUGUCUGCGUCUAGCCCUGGGGGUAGUCCACCACUGUGAGGACUUGGAGACAUUUUGUGCUGCGCCUGUGCCAGACUUGCACCUCAAUACGUGUGUGGCCCAAGCAGGCCUGCCUGAUUUCUGCAGAAUGAACCUAGUGACCACUGGACGACUCCUCAGUGUCCAGUGGGGGAGGUUGUGGACAGGGGCUGCACGUGAGGAGGUCAGAUGCACCAGGACACCCUCCCAGAGCCACUGUCCCCCGCCCCACCUGCCCACCCAUGGCCCCAGCUCACUCGCUGUGCUGUACUCUGCAAUCACCAGGUCUAGAGGCACUUAAUGGUAUUGUUUUAUUUGGGGUUUUUGCCUGUGAAAAUGAUCAUGAAGACAUCCAGUGAGAGGUGAGAUAAAUGCACUGGUAUUAAAUUAGAAAUAACCUGCAAAAAUCAGACCUCUUAAAAGAACAAGGAAUUGGUUAUCUGAUCUGUCCUGGACCAGGGAGGAGGCUGGUCUUUGGUGCCAGCCCCAGGAAGACAUCAAGAAUUCAGCCUGAGAGGAGGCCCUAGUCAGCCAUCCUGUUUGUGGAAAUAGCUUAGGAAAUGAGUUGUUUUGCCCCAGAAUGGCCAAAGUUCAAAGCUUGGACUCCAGAAGGCAGGCAGCCACCCUUCUGCAGUGGGUGUGUUGUUGCUUUGUGGGUGGAAAACUCCAGGACCCACCCCCUGACACGUCAUGGUGAGUCCCUUGCCAGGUGUGUCUUAGUUCCGGAAUCUUGCUGCUCAUCUGCUAGAAACGUGACGAUCCCCUGGAGACCAGGGUGCUGUGGAAAAGGGGCAGGUCUGCAAGUUUGUUGAACCCAGUCUCCCACAGAAUUGCGAAAAUCUAGUAAAUCAUGACGAAAAUGACAACAAUUCUGGUGAUAGUAACGAUUGCAUGAGGCCCAGGUCCCCAAGGAGCCAGCAUCUGCUGGGUCUAGACCACACCCUUUCACCUGACCCUGACUCAGACCCUCCUGCGUGUCCACUUUGUUGAUCUGGAAGUAGAAAAAGUCGUCUUGGCACCUUCAGGCACUCCCCCUGACUGGAGACCUAGGCCCCUGGCUGUGUUUCCCUGUUUCCUGUGGCCCGUGUUUUCCUGGUAAGCAGGGUGUUGUGUCUGGAGCAUCCCCUGUUCGUGUGUUCAGAGGGGAUGACCCUCUGCCUGCUGUGGCGGGAAAGAAGUGCUGUGGCUAGUGCUGGGGUGCCCUGCGGUGCUGCAGGGGCAUGGGAGUGGCUGAGGGGUGGUCAGAGGCUGGUGGCCUGUAGAUUGCCGUUUCUGCUUGGUGAUGUGGUCUCUUGUCUUCCUUGGGCGUUAUUCUGUUUUCAAACUGCUUCAGACGUUACCGCUCGUGCGUGAGCCUUCUGCUUCUCUGAUCAGUCGAGCAGCCAGCACCACGAGGAACCCAUUAGGGAACAUGGACAUGGCGCUCCUGCUCCAGGUGGGGCGGAGGACCUGUUCCAGGGGAGAUGGGCAGCCUCCCUGGCACCUGGUGUGAGACCUCCAGUGGGUGGGUGGGUGCCCAGGGCCUGGGGGCCCUGUCCGCCCUUCCCUGGCUCUCAGCAAGCCCCGCCAGGGACAUAGCUUGCUUGUGGGGUGUGGUGAGGGGGCGUGAAAAGUGACUGAUCUCAUUCCUUUCCCAGUGUUCUGAGCUGUGAACCCAUGUGACACAGGACUCCUGUUCUGCUCUUUUGGUUGUGACUCCUUCUCCUGUGGAAUUGGCAAAAGCUAUAUUUUUACUGUCCUUUCAAGCACGGUUGGCGUCGUCUCUGCUGUAGGUGUGGGCAGUGUGUGUACAUAUGUGUAUAUGUAUAUAUCACCCAGCAGCGUGACUGCUGCCGUCCAGAGCGAAGCAACAGUACAAUAAACGUUGGCUCCAAAACUGCCUCUAGUUUCUUGAUCAGUGGGCAGGAGCAGGGGUCUGGGCAAGCUGGCCUGCUGUGCACAGAAGGAAACCCCGACCCUGCUGUGUCCUGGGAUAGGUGUGGGUGGCAGGCCAGGUGUCAGCCUCUGGGGGUGGGGGGCAGGGCUGCCUCCCCAUCCGUGGGGAUUCACCUGACCCCCUGAGGUGAGUGUCUCAUGACACUCAGACGUGGCUAGAAACCCCUCCCUCCUUUGAAACAUUAAAACCCAUUUUCUAGGCAUCAGAUACAACCAGUGACAAAGCUGCGUUCGAAGGGGUGUCUGUCCUGACCCCAGAUCCACCCAGAGGGUCCCUGUGAGGUAGGAGAUAGAUAGGCUCCAGCUUGGACAUUUAUUCUCCUACCUCACCUGGGGGAAGGGGCUGGGCCUGGGUCCUGUGCGCAGCAACUUCUGGUCGGUUUUAUCUCCUUGGAGAUGGGAUGGUGUUUCAGGUGGGCAAGGGAAGCAGUUUACACUGAAACCUGUAUACAUUGUGGUUAGAAGCUAAAUGCAGGUGCAUGGACCAUGGUCGUCCGUGUGCUGGUUUGUCCUGCUGCUGGGGUCCGACCUCUGUCCUGAGCCCGUGCACACACCUGGGGCUGGGCUGGUGGGUCAUGGAAGUUUCCCAUGGUGAUGGUCUCUAUGUCUGAAUGUUGACCUAUAAUAAAGAUUACUUGUAAAAAAUAAAUGUUUUCACUGCA
Molecule: RNA transcript, 4490 nt
Organism: Budorcas taxicolor (takin)
Lineage: Eukaryota; Metazoa; Chordata; Mammalia; Artiodactyla; Bovidae
Gene: DNAJC5
Gene name: DnaJ heat shock protein family (Hsp40) member C5
Exons: 6
Source: RefSeq, a predicted model, not a curated record